GACGAACGCUGGCGGCGUGCCUAACACAUGCAAGUCGAACGGAAAGGCCCUGAUUUCGUGGGGUGCUCGAUUGCCGAACGCGUGCGUAACACGUGAGUAACCUGCCCUAGUCUUUGGGAUGACUUCAGGAAACUGGGGCUACUCUCGGAUCGGAUCUCCUGCUCCGUUGUGGGGGUUGGAAAGUCUCGGCGGUCGGGGAUGGAUUCGCGGGUUACGAGCUUGUUGGUGGGGUAGUGGCUUACCCAGGCUUAGACGGGUAGCCGGCCUGAGAGGGUGGACGGGGACAUGGGGACUGAGGGACGGAGCAGACGCGUAUGGGAGGCAGCGGUGGGGAGCAUGGCACAAUGAGCGGAAGCGUGUGGCAGCAACGCCGCGUGCGGGAUGACGGCUUGUGGGGUAUGAACCGCUGUCGCCUGUGACGAAGCGGGAGUGACGGUAAUGAGUAAAGAAGCACCGGCUAACUACGUG
Molecule: ribosomal RNA, 468 nt
Filed under: uncultured bacterium
Lineage: Bacteria
Description: partial 16S ribosomal RNA
Rfam family: Bacterial small subunit ribosomal RNA
Source: RNAcentral